RNAcentral lists this ribosomal RNA (433 nucleotides) under uncultured bacterium. Its description in RNAcentral is "partial 16S ribosomal RNA". It matches the Rfam family "Bacterial small subunit ribosomal RNA", at positions 29 to 507 of the family's 1533-position model. The record is from RNAcentral.
AACGAACGCUGGCGGCAUGCCUAACACAUGCAAGUCGAACGAGACCUUCGGGUCUAUUGGCGCACGGGUGCGUCACGCGUGGGAACCUGCCCUUAUGUUCGGAAUAACUCCCCGAAAGGGGUGCUAAUACCGGAUAAUAUCUUCGGACCAAAGAUUUAUCGCCUUUGGAUGGGCCCGCGUUGGAUUAGCUAGUUGGUAGGGUCAAAGCCUACCAAGGCGACGAUUCAUAGCUGGUCUGAGAGGAUGAUCAGCCACACUGGGACUGAGACACGGCCCAGACUCCUACGGGAGGCAGCAGUGGGGAAUAUUGGACAAGGGGCGAAAGCAUGAUGCAGCAAUGCCGCGUGAGUGAUGAAGGCCUUAGGGAUGUAAAGCUCUUUUAACCGGGAUGAUAAUGACAGUACCGGGAGAAUAAGCGCCGGCUAACUCCGUG